This 478-nucleotide ribosomal RNA is filed under the name uncultured bacterium. Its description in RNAcentral is "SSU rRNA". It matches the Rfam family "Bacterial small subunit ribosomal RNA", at positions 26 to 518 of the family's 1533-position model. The record is from RNAcentral.
AGGACGAACGCUGGCGGCGUGCUUAACACAUGCAAGUCGAGCGGUAAGGCCCUUUCGGGGGUACACGAGCGGCGAACGGGUGAGUAACACGUGGGUGACCUGCCCUUAGCUCUGGGAUAAGCCUGGGAAACUGGGUCUAAUACCGGAUAUGACUCCACGGUGCAUGUCGUGGGGUGGAAAGCCUUGUGCGGCUGAGGAUGGGCCCGCGGCCUAUCAGCUUGUUGGUGGGGUGAUUGCCUACCAAGGCGACGACGGGUAGCCGGCCUGAGAGGGCGACCGGCCACACUGGGACUGAGACACGGCCCAGACUCCUACGGGAGGCAGCAGUGGGGAAUCUUGCGCAAUGGGCGAAAGCCUGACGCAGCGACGCCGCGUGAGGGAUGACGGCCUUCGGGUUGUAAACCUCUUUCAGCUCCGACGAAGCGAGAGUGACGGUAGGAGCAGAAGAAGCACCGGCCAACUACGCGCCAGCAGCCGC